UCGAACGAACCUUGAGAACUUUGAAACUUCGGUUGAUGAGUUCUCGCUGGUUAGUGGCAAACGGGUGAGUAACACAUGGAUAAUCUGCCUCGAAGUCGGGAAUAGCUCGUCGAAAGACGGGAUAAUGCUCGAUAGUCUCAAUUUAUCGCAAGGUAUUUUGGGUAAAGCUCCGGUGCUUCGAGAAGAGUCUGUGUCCUAUCAGCUAGUUGGUGAGGUAAUAGCUCACCAAGGCUAAGACGGGUAGCUGGCGUGAGAGCGCGGUCAGCCACAAUGGAACUGAGACACGGUCCAUACUUCUACGGAAGGCAGCAAUUAGGAAUCUUGCGCAAUGGGGGCAACCCUGACGCAGCGACACCGCGUGGAGGAUGAAGGUCUAAGGAUUGUAAACUCCUUUUAUAUGGGAAUAAUAAAUGAAGGUACCAUAUGAAUAAGCACCUGCUAACUACGUGCCAGAAGCAUCGGUGAUGCGUAGGGUGCGAACGUUAUCCGGAUUUAUUGGGCGUAUAGAGAUGCGUAGGCGUUUUAGUAAGUCUUGUGUUAAAGACCUCAGCUUAACUGAGGAAAAGCAUUCGAAACUACUAGAAUUGAGAGAGGGAGG
Molecule: ribosomal RNA, 598 nt
Filed under: uncultured bacterium
Lineage: Bacteria
Description: bacterial SSU rRNA
Rfam family: Bacterial small subunit ribosomal RNA
Source: RNAcentral